GGGGGCGUCUUCUAAGGGGGAAGAAACCAGACUGUAAAUCUGGGAAUGCGGGUUCGAGACCCGUCGCCUCCA
RNAcentral lists this transfer RNA (72 nucleotides) under Chloroflexota bacterium. RNAcentral describes it as "Chloroflexi bacterium tRNA-Tyr". It matches the Rfam family "tRNA". Rfam says of the family: Transfer RNA (tRNA) molecules are approximately 80 nucleotides in length. Lineage: Bacteria; Bacillati; Chloroflexota. The record is from RNAcentral.